RNAcentral lists this ribosomal RNA (253 nucleotides) under uncultured bacterium. Its description in RNAcentral is "partial 16S ribosomal RNA". It matches the Rfam family "Bacterial small subunit ribosomal RNA", at positions 524 to 776 of the family's 1533-position model. The record is from RNAcentral.
UACAGAGGGUGCGAGCGUUAAUCGGAGUUACUGGGCGUAAAGGGCGCGUAGGCGGUUUAAUAAGAUUGAUGUGAAAUCCCUGGGCUUAACCUAGGAACUGCAUCGAUGACUGUUAAGCUAGAGUACUGUAGAGGGUAGUGGAAUUUCCGGUGUAGCGGUGAAAUGCGUAGAGAUCGGAAGGAACACCAGUGGCGAAGGCGGCUACCUGGACAGAUACUGACGCUGAGGCGCGAAAGCGUGGGGAGCAAACAGG